CCUACGGGCGGCUGCAGUGGGAAUAUUGGACAAUGGGCGAAAGCCUGAUCCAGCCAUGCCGCGUGUGUGAAGAAGGCCUUCGGGUUGUAAAGCACUUUCAGUGGGGAAGAAAGCCUUGGGGCUAAUACCCUCGAGGAAGGACAUCACCCACAGAAGAAGCACCGGCUAACUCCGUGCCAGCAGCCGCGGUAAUACGGAGGGUGCGAGCGUUAAUCGGAAUUACUGGGCGUAAAGCGCGCGUAGGCGGUCUGAUAAGCCGGUUGUGAAAGCCCCGGGCUCAACCUGGGAACGGCAUCCGGAACUGUCAGGCUAGAGUGCAGGAGAGGAAGGUAGAAUUCCCGGUGUAGCGGUGAAAUGCGUAGAGAUCGGGAGGAAUACCAGUGGCGAAGGCGGCCUUCUGGACUGACACUGACGCUGAGGUGCGAAAGCGUGGGUAGCAAACAGGAUUAGAUACCCGUGUAGUC
RNAcentral lists this ribosomal RNA (464 nucleotides) under Vreelandella stevensii. RNAcentral describes it as "partial 16S ribosomal RNA". It matches the Rfam family "Bacterial small subunit ribosomal RNA", at positions 338 to 795 of the family's 1533-position model. The record is from RNAcentral. Lineage: Bacteria; Pseudomonadati; Pseudomonadota; Gammaproteobacteria; Oceanospirillales; Halomonadaceae.